This 495-nucleotide ribosomal RNA is filed under the name uncultured bacterium. Its description in RNAcentral is "partial 16S ribosomal RNA". It matches the Rfam family "Bacterial small subunit ribosomal RNA", at positions 29 to 506 of the family's 1533-position model. The record is from RNAcentral.
AUGAACGCUGGCGGCGUGCCUAAUACAUGCAAGUCGAGCGAACGGACGAGGAGCUUGCUUCUCUGAUGUUAGCGGCGGACGGGUGAGUAACACGUGGAUAACCUACCUAUAAGACUGGGAUAACUUCGGGAAACCGGAGCUAAUACCGGAUGAUAUUUUGAACCGCAUGGUUCAAAAGUGAAAGACGGUCUUGCUGUCACUUAUAGAUGGAUCCGCGCUGCAUUAGCUAGUUGGUAAGGUAACGGCUUACCAAGGCAACGAUGCAUAGCCGACCUGAGAGGGUGAUCGGCCACACUGGAACUGAGACACGGUCCAGACUCCUACGGGAGGCAGCAGUAGGGAAUCUUCCGCAAUGGGCGAAAGCCUGACGGAGCAACGCCGCGUGAGUGAUGAAGGUCUUCGGAUCGUAAAACUCUGUUAUUAGGGAAGAACAUAUGUGUAAGUAACUGUGCACAUCUUGACGGUACCUAAUCAGAAAGCCACGGCUAACUACGU